Molecule: ribosomal RNA, 426 nt
Filed under: uncultured prokaryote
Description: bacterial SSU rRNA
Rfam family: Bacterial small subunit ribosomal RNA
Source: RNAcentral
UGGGGAAUUUUCCGCAAUGGGUGAGAGCCUGACGGAGCAACGCCGCGUGAGGGAGGACGGCCUGUGGGUUGUAAACCUCUUUUCUCAGGGAAGAAGAUCUGACGGUACCUGAGGAAUCAGCAUCGGCUAACUCCGUGCCAGCAGCCGCGGUAAGACGGAGGAUGCAAGCGUUAUCCGGAAUUAUUGGGCGUAAAGCGUCCGUAGGCGGUUAUUUAAGUCUGCUGUCAAAGACCACAGCUCAACUGUGGGCGGGCGGUGGAAACUGGGUAACUAGAGUUCGGUAGGGGUAGAGGGAAUUCCCAGUGUAGCGGUGAAAUGCGUAGAUAUUGGGAAGAACACCAGUGGCGAAGGCGCUCUACUGGGCCGAGACUGACGCUGAUGGACGAAAGCUAGGGGAGCGAAAGGGAUUAGAUACCCCCGUAGUCC